RNAcentral lists this non-coding RNA (30 nucleotides) under Homo sapiens (human). The record is from RNAcentral. Lineage: Eukaryota; Metazoa; Chordata; Mammalia; Primates; Hominidae.
UAGCAACCUUGUUAAGUUGAGUCUUAUGGU